This 21-nucleotide microRNA is filed under the name Oryza sativa (Asian cultivated rice). Its description in RNAcentral is "osa-miR5484". Lineage: Eukaryota; Viridiplantae; Streptophyta; Magnoliopsida; Poales; Poaceae. The record is from miRBase by way of RNAcentral.
AACCGAGCGCGCUGUUGAUUA